RNAcentral lists this ribosomal RNA (253 nucleotides) under uncultured bacterium. Its description in RNAcentral is "partial 16S ribosomal RNA". It matches the Rfam family "Bacterial small subunit ribosomal RNA", at positions 524 to 776 of the family's 1533-position model. The record is from RNAcentral.
UACGAAGGUCCCGAGCGUUGUUCGGAAUCACUGGGCGUAAAGGGCGCGUAGGCGGCAUGGUAAGUCAGAUGUGAAAUCCCGGGGCUCAACCCCGGAACUGCAUCCGAUACUGCCUUGCUUGAGGGUUGGAGAGGUAGCUGGAAUUAUCGGUGUAGCAGUGAAAUGCGUGGAUAUCGAUAGGAACACUCGUGGCGAAGGCGAGCUACUGGACAACAUCUGACGCUGAGGCUCGAAGGCUAGGGGAGCAAAAGGG